AGAGUUUGAUCAUGGCUCAGGAUGAACGCUGGCGGUAUGCUUAACACAUGCAAGUCGAACGAAAGUCUUCGGAUUUUAGUGGCGGACGGGUGAGUAACGCGUGAGAAUCUACCUAUAGGUUGGGGAUAACAGCUGGAAACAGCUGCUAAUACCGAAUGUGCCGAGAGGUGAAAGCUUUAGUGCCUGUAGAAGAGCUCGCGUCCGAUUAGCUAGUUGGUUGGGUAAAGGCUGACCAAGGCGACGAUCGGUAGCUGGUCUGAGAGGAUGAUCAGCCACACUGGGACUGAGACACGGCCCAGACUCCUACGGGAGGCAGCAGUGGGGAAUUUUCCGCAAUGGGCGAAAGCCUGACGGAGCAAUACCGCGUGCGGGACGAAGGCUUUUGGGUCGUAAACCGCUUUUGUUAGGGAAGAAGAACUGACGGUACCUAACGAAUCAGCAUCGGCUAACUCCGUGCCAGCCGCCGCGGUAAUUC
RNAcentral lists this ribosomal RNA (475 nucleotides) under uncultured bacterium. Its description in RNAcentral is "bacterial SSU rRNA". It matches the Rfam family "Bacterial small subunit ribosomal RNA", at positions 8 to 526 of the family's 1533-position model. The record is from RNAcentral.